CCUACGGGUGGCAGCAGUGGGGAAUAUUGCACAAUGGGGGAAACCCUGAUGCAGCGACGCCGCGUGAGUGAAGAAGUACUUCGUGAUGUAAAGCUCUAUCAGCAGGGAAGAAAAUGACGGUACCUGAGUAAGAAGCCCCGGCUAACUACGUGACAGCAGCCGCUGUAAUACGUCGGGGGCAAGCGUUAUCCGGAUUUACUGGGUGGAAAGGGAGCGUAGACGGCAGUGCAAGUCUGGAGUGAAAGGCGGGGGCUCAAACCCCGGACUGCUCUGGAAACUGGACGGCUGGAGUGCAGGAGAGGUAAGUGGAAUGCCUAGUGUAGCGGUGAAAUGCGUAGAUAUUAGGAGGAACACCAGUGGCGAAGGCGGCUUACUGGACUGUAACUGACGUUGAGGCGCGAAAGCGUGGGGAGCAAACAGGAUUAGAUACCCUUGUAGUC
Molecule: ribosomal RNA, 440 nt
Filed under: uncultured bacterium
Lineage: Bacteria
Description: partial 16S ribosomal RNA
Rfam family: Bacterial small subunit ribosomal RNA
Source: RNAcentral